UCUGACCUGCCCACUGAAAAUUUUAAAUGGCUGCAGUAAUUUGACUGUACAAAGGUAGCAUAAUCAUUAGUUUUUUAAUUAAAAGCUUGUAUGAAAGGUUGGACGAAGUAAAAUCUGUCUCUUUUUAAUAUAAUUAGAAUUUAAUUUUUAAGUAAAAAAGCUUAAAUUUUUAUAAAAGACGAGAAGACCCUAUAGAGUUUAAUAAUUUUAAUAAAAUAUUUAAUUAAGAUUUAUUAAUUUUAUUUAAUUAAAAUUAUUUUAUUGGGGUAAUAAAAAGAUUAAAAAAAUUCUUUUUUUUUAAUACAUUAAUUUAUGAAUAUAUGAUCCAUUUGUAGUGAUUAAAAGAUUAAAUUACCUUAGGGAUAACAGCGUAAUUUUUUUAAAGAGUUCUUAUCGAUAAAAAAGUUUGCGACCUCGAUGUUGGAUUAAAGAUUAAUUUAGGUGUAGAAGUUUAAAUUUUUGGUCUGUUCGACCAUUAAAUCUUUACAUGAUCUGAGUUCAAACCGGUGUAAGCCAGGUUGGUUUCUAUCUUUAUUAAUUUUUUAUAUUUUAGUACGAAAGGACCAAAUAUAAAAUAUAUAAAUAUUUUUAUUUUGAAUAUUAUUAAAUUAGUUAUUUUGGCAGAUUAGUGUAAUGAAUUUAGAAUUCAUUUAUGUAAAUAUUUUACAAAUAAUACUUGUUUAUAAAAGAUAUAAUUAUUUCUUUUAUUUUAAUUAUUUUAUUAAUUAUUUGUGUUUUAGUAGGUGUAGCUUUUUUAACUUUAUUAGAA
RNAcentral lists this ribosomal RNA (769 nucleotides) under Trechisibus antarcticus. Its description in RNAcentral is "partial 16S ribosomal RNA". The stretch from base 1 to 556 matches the Rfam family "Bacterial large subunit ribosomal RNA", at positions 1853 to 2925 of the family's 2925-position model. Lineage: Eukaryota; Metazoa; Arthropoda; Insecta; Coleoptera; Carabidae. The record is from RNAcentral.